RNAcentral lists this ribosomal RNA (498 nucleotides) under uncultured bacterium. RNAcentral describes it as "partial 16S ribosomal RNA". It matches the Rfam family "Bacterial small subunit ribosomal RNA", at positions 27 to 507 of the family's 1533-position model. The record is from RNAcentral.
GGACGAACGCUGGCGGCGUGCCUAAUACAUGCAAGUAGAACGCUGAAGAGAGGAGCUUGCUCUUCUUGGAUGAGUUGCGAACGGGUGAGUAACGCGUAGGUAACCUGCCUUGUAGCGGGGGAUAACUAUUGGAAACGAUAGCUAAUACCGCAUAACAAUAGGUGACACAUGUCAUUUAUUUGAAAGGGGCAAUUGCUCCACUACAAGAUGGACCUGCGUUGUAUUAGCUAGUAGGUGAGGUAACGGCUCACCUAGGCGACGAUACAUAGCCGACCUGAGAGGGUGAUCGGCCACACUGGGACUGAGACACGGCCCAGACUCCUACGGGAGGCAGCAGUAGGGAAUCUUCGGCAAUGGGGGCAACCCUGACCGAGCAACGCCGCGUGAGUGAAGAAGGUUUUCGGAUCGUAAAGCUCUGUUGUAAGUCAAGAACGAGUGUGAGAGUGGAAAGUUCACACUGUGACGGUAGCUUACCAGAAAGGGACGGCUAACUACGUG